GAUGAACGCUAGCGGCAGGCUUAAUACAUGCAAGUCAAGGGGGUAGCAAUACAACCGGCGCACGGGUGAGUAACGCGUACACAACAUACCAUAUACUGGAGUAUAGCUUUGGGAAACUGAAGGUAAUCCUCCAUAACAUUGCGAGAGGGCAUCUGAUUGCAAUUAAAGUUUCGGCGGUAUAUGAUUGGUGUGCGUUUGAUUAGCUAGUUGGUAGGGUAACGGCCUACCAAGGCGACGAUCAAUAGCUGGCGUGAGAGCGCGACCAGCCACACUGGAACUGAGACACGGUCCAGACUCCUACGGGAGGCAGCAGUAGGGAAUAUUGGACAAUGGAGGAAACUCUGAUCCAGCCAUGCCGCGUGAUAGAUGAAGGCCCUCUGGGUUGUAAAUAUCUUUUAUCUGGGAAGAAACUCCUCUAUUCUUAGAGGCCUGACGGUACCAGAGGAAUAAGCACCGGCUAACUCGUGCCAGCAGCCGCGU
This 480-nucleotide ribosomal RNA is filed under the name uncultured bacterium. Its description in RNAcentral is "bacterial SSU rRNA". It matches the Rfam family "Bacterial small subunit ribosomal RNA", at positions 28 to 520 of the family's 1533-position model. The record is from RNAcentral.